This 675-nucleotide ribosomal RNA is filed under the name Triticum aestivum (bread wheat). Its description in RNAcentral is "partial small subunit ribosomal RNA". The record is from RNAcentral. Lineage: Eukaryota; Viridiplantae; Streptophyta; Magnoliopsida; Poales; Poaceae.
AUGGCGUCUUCACUCUUCAUCCUUGCCCUCCUCCUCACCGUCGCUGCAACCAACGCGGCCACCAUCACGGUGGUGAACAAGUGCUCCUACACGGUGUGGCCAGCCGCCAUCCCGGUGGGAGGCGGGACCAAGCUCGAACCGGGCCAGUUGUCCACAAUCCAUCCACCCGCCGGAACAAAAUCUGGAAGGAUCUGGGCGCGUACGGGCUGCAAAUUCGACGCCAGCGGCAAGGGGUCCUGUACCACGGGAGACUGCGGCGGCGUGCUGGCCUGUCGUGCCGGCGGGAAGCCACCCGCCUCGCUCGCCGAGUACACUCUGGGGACAGGCAGCAAUGCUGACUUCUACGACAUCUCCCUCGUUGACGGAUUCAACGUGCCGAUGAGCUUCGGGCCCGUCGGCGGCAGCUGCCGCGCGGUCAGCUGCGCCGCGGACAUCAACGCAAAGUGCCCGUCGGAGCUGAAGGUGGACGGGGGCUGCAUGAGUGCCUGCGGCAAGUUCGGCACCGCACAGUACUGCUGCCCACCGCCGAGUACACCGUCGACUUGCGGGCCGACAAACUACUCGCGUUUCUUCAAGGGGCUCUGCCCAGACGCCUACAGCUAUGCCUACGACGACAAGACCAGCACCUUCACCUGCGCUAGCGGAACAAACUACCAACUGACCUUCUGCCCGUAG